ACGGCUCAGUAACACGUAGUCAACCUAACCUAUGGACGGAAAUAACCUCGGGAAACUGAGAAUAAUGUCCGAUAGAACACUAUACCUGGAAUGGUUUGUGUUCCAAAUGAUUUAUCGCCGUAGGAUGGGACUGCGGCCUAUCAGUUUGUUGGUGAGGUAAUGGCCCACCAAGACUAUUACAGGUACGGGCUCUGAGAGGAGUAGCCCGGAGAUGGGUACUGAGACACGGACCCAGGCCCUAUGGGGCGCAGCAGGCGAGAAAACUUUGCAAUGUGCGAAAGCACGACAAGGUUAAUCCGAGUGAUUUGUGCUAAACGAAUCUUUUGUUAGUCAUAGAACCACUAACGAAUAAGGGGUGGGCAAGUUCUGGUGUCAGCCGCCGCGGUAAAACCAGCACCUCAAGUGGUCAGGAUGAUUAUUGGGCCUAAAGCAUCCGUAGCCGGCUCUAUAAGUUUUCGGUUAAAUCUGUACGCUCAACGUACAGGCUGCCGGGAAUACUGCAGAGCUAGGGAGUGGGAGAGGUAGACGGUACUCGGAAGGAAGGGGUAAAAUCCUUUGAUCUUUUGAUGACCACCUGUGGCGAAGGCGGUCUACCAGAACACGUCCGACGGUGAGGGAUGAAAGCUGGGGGAGCAAACCGGAUUAGAUACCCGGGUAGUCCCAGCUGUAAACUAUGCAAACUCAGUGAUGCAUUGACUUGUGGUCAAUGCAGUGCUGCAGGGAAGCCGUUAAGUUUGCCGCCUGGGAAGUACGUACGCAAGUAUGAAACUUAAAGGAAUUGGCGGGGGAGCAC
Molecule: ribosomal RNA, 793 nt
Filed under: uncultured archaeon
Lineage: Archaea
Description: bacterial SSU rRNA
Rfam family: Archaeal small subunit ribosomal RNA
Source: RNAcentral